This 580-nucleotide ribosomal RNA is filed under the name uncultured organism. RNAcentral's name for it is "SSU rRNA". It matches the Rfam family "Eukaryotic small subunit ribosomal RNA", at positions 577 to 1162 of the family's 1831-position model. The record is from RNAcentral.
CGGUAAUUCCAGCUCCAAUAUCGUAUAUUUAAGUUGUUGCAGUUAAAAAGCUCGUAGUUGGACUUUGGGACGGGUCGGUCGGUCCGCCUCGCGGUGUGCACCGGUCGUCCCAUCCCUUCUGUAGGCGAUGCGUGCCUGGCAUUAACUGGCCGGGUCGUGCCUCCGGCGCUGUUACUUUGAAGAAAUUAGAGUGCUCAAAGCAAGCCCACGCUCUGGAUACAUUAGCAUGGGAUAACAUCACAGGAUUUCGGUCCUAUUGUGUUGGCCUUCGGGAUCGGAGUAAUGAUUAAGAGGGACAGUCGGGGGCAUUCGUAUUUCAUAGUCAGAGGUGAAAUUCUUGGAUUUAUGAAAGACGAACCACUGCGAAAGCAUUUGCCAAGGAUGUUUUCAUUAAUCAAGAACGAAAGUUGGGGGCUCGAAGACGAUCAGAUACCGUCCUAGUCUCAACCAUAAACGAUGCCGACCAGGGAUCGGCGGAUGUUGCUCUUAGGACUCCGCCGGCACCUUAUGAGAAAUCAAAGUCUUUGGGUUCCGGGGGGAGUAUGGCCGCAAGGCUGAAACUUAAAGGAUUUGACGGAAG